Molecule: long non-coding RNA, 293 nt
Filed under: Capsicum annuum
Lineage: Eukaryota; Viridiplantae; Streptophyta; Magnoliopsida; Solanales; Solanaceae
Description: long non-coding RNA (CANN_LNC017100)
Source: RNAcentral
AAAACAUCCUUUCAUGAAGAUCAAAUUCAAAUACUCCUACGUUCAAGAAAUACGCCACUAAAGGUCCUCAGAUUACGGAGAAAUUCAUAUCAAAUCCUACGUUCGAUAAAUAUGUCACUGGCAAUCCUCGAAUUAUGGAGAAAAUCAAGAGAGAAGAAAUACGCCACUAAAGGCCCUUGGAUUACGGAGAAAUUCAUACAAAUCCUACGUUCGAUAAGUAUGUCACUGACAACCCUCAAACUAUGGAGAAAAUCAAGAGAGAAGGAUCAAGGGAGGAACAGAUUUGUAACCAC